Pelobates cultripes (western spadefoot toad) is the source of this 440-nucleotide non-coding RNA. The record is from the annotation of a GenBank genome assembly. Lineage: Eukaryota; Metazoa; Chordata; Amphibia; Anura; Pelobatidae.
GCAAUGGUUCACCCUAUUACCCUAGGUAAUAUGUAAAUUCUAGGCUGUUUGUAAUCCUUGAGAACUGGUGGUUUGAGAACCACUGAGCUAGGGUAUGCAUUCAAAAAAAUCUGGUUGUAAUUCACAGGGACUUCAUGAAUUCUACCAGAUCAUUCAGCACAUUCAACUUUAAACAAAAUAGAAAGUCCACUGUGACCUGUUAGUACAUCUAAAAUAGACAAGAGCCACAAUUUACUUCCACACUUGAGGAGUCUUUUGCAGAAGAUCUAUAUUUCUAUUGAAGGUGAUGGUAACUCAAACUCAACUCAACGAGGCUUUGAAGUAAUCUACAUAUAUUGGAUUCACCCAACUAUAUUGGCAACGUUGUAUGCUUCCUAGCUGCCUUUACAAAUGGGCUAUGUAAAGUGAUGUUAGAAUGUGAAUGCAAUUGUCAUCCCUGG